CAGCAGCCGCGGUAAUACGCAGGGUGCGAGCGUUAAUCGGAAUUACUGGGCGUAAAGCGUGCGCAGGCGGUUAUAUAAGACAGAUGUGAAAUCCCCGGGUUCAACCUGGGACCUGCAUUUGUGACUGUAUAGCUAGAGUACAGUAGAGGGGGAUGGAAUUCCGCGUGUAGCAGUGAAAUGCGUAGAUAUGCGGAGGAACACCGAUGGCGAAGGCAAUCCCCUGGACCUGUACUGACGCUCAUGCACGAAAGCGUGGGGAGCAAACAGGAUUAGAGACCCCUGUAGUCCCUGUCUCUUAUAA
RNAcentral lists this ribosomal RNA (301 nucleotides) under uncultured bacterium. RNAcentral's name for it is "partial 16S ribosomal RNA". It matches the Rfam family "Bacterial small subunit ribosomal RNA", at positions 509 to 809 of the family's 1533-position model. The record is from RNAcentral.